AUGGCGUCGGCGAGGCUGACCCCGAACGGCGUGGGGGCGGCGCUGGCGGGGGAGACGAACCUCAGGCCCAUCGUGCAGGUCGUCAACCUGCGCUGCGUCAACGUCGACGGCAAGGGCACGCCCCGGAGCGACAGGUGGCGCGGCCUCGUCUCCGACGGCGCCGAGACCUGCCCCGCGAUGUUCGCCGGCCAGCUCAGCGACCUCGCGCGCUCCGGGCUCAUCCGCCGCGGCUCCGUCGUGCAGCUCGACGAGUACGUCAUCAACAUGGUCGGCGGCAGAAGGGUUAUCGUCGUUCUGAAUUUGACAGUUCUUCUCGCGGAGUGUGACAUCAUUGGCAAUCCAGUGAUUACUCCAGAAAGUGAAUCUUCUAAUCAAAACAACCCAAGAGUGGAGCAAUUUAACGGAACACGUCAAUAUGGUUUGGCGGCAGGAAACCCAAGUCCCACAAGGCCCAAUGGCAAUGUUCCAGUCUUCCAACCUUCGGUGUCAGGGAGCUCCUUGAACACACCCACCAGGCUCAGUGACAAAUCUCCAGUUUUCCAGCCAACAGCACAGCCAUCUUAUCGUCCUGCACCCAGUUACAAAAAUCAAGGAGCAAUUGCGAAAAAUGAAGCCCCUGCUAGAAUAAUCCCCAUAUCUUCUUUAAAUCCUUAUCAGGGCCGCUGGGCUAUCAAGGGUAGAGUUACUGCAAAGGGAGACAUCCGCCGGUACCACAAUGCAAAAGGUGAAGGCAAAGUGUUCAACUUUGACUUGCUUGAUUCUGAUGGGGGUGAGAUACGGGUGGCAUGUUUCAACACUCAACUUGAUCGCUUCUAUGAAGUUGUGGAAGUUGGUAAGGUCUAUGUGGUAUCAAGAGGAAACUUGAAACCUGUACAGAGGAACUAUAACCAUCUGAACAGUGAGUGGGAGAUUACGUUGGAGAGAGAUUCAUCAGUGGAUCUUUGUCCUGAUGAGAACAGCUCAAUUCCCUCUCAGCAGUUUAACUUCAGACCGAUCAGUGAAAUUGAGGAUACUCCGACCGGUACUAUACUUGAUAUCAUAGGUGUUGCUAUCUCUGUCAGCCCUUCCACCACAGUACAGAAGAAAAAUGGCACGGAAACUCUGAAAAGAAUGAUUGGCCUGAAGGAUAUGUCUGGUCGAAGUGUUGAUCUAACCAUGUGGGGUGACUUUUGCAACAGAGAAGGCUCACAGCUGCAAGAAAUGGUUGAACGUGGGGUCUUCCCCGUGCUGGGUGUCAAAACAGGAAGAGUGAAUGAUUUCAAUGGCAAGUGUGUCGGCACAAUUUCUUCCUCUCAACUCCUCAUAGACCCUGAUCUCUCUGAAGCUCAUACUCUGAGGCAAUGGUUCGACGGUGGAGGAAGGGAUGCUUCUACUCAGUCCAUAUCUAGGGAUCACACUCCUUCAGCAUCAAGGAACGAGGUCCGAAUGACAGUUGCUAAAAUCAAGGAUGAUGGUCUUGGAAUGGGAGACAAACCUGAUUGGGUUACUGUGAAAGCCUCCAUUAUAUUCUUCAAGAGCGACAACUUCUGCUACACAGCUUGCCCUACUAAGGAAGGUGACCGGCAGUGCAAUAAGAAAGUGACAAAGGGGACCUCUGGCUUGUGGGUGUGUGACAAAUGCGACAAGGAGUUUCCAGAGUGCGACUACAGGUAUCUUCUGCAGCUUCAGAUUCAAGAUCACUCGGGAACAACUUGGGUGACAGCGUUUCAGGAGACCGCGCAAGAGUUACUAGGCUGCUCGGCGCUAGAACUCGUUACAUACAAAGAGAACGGAGACCCUCGUUUUGCAGAGACCAUGCUCAGCUGUUUGUUCAUGGAUUAUCUGCUCAGGCUGAAAGUCAAAGAAGAAACGUACAGCGACGAGAGGAGAGUGAAGAACACAUUGGUCAAAGUGGAGAGGUUUGAUCCUGCUGCCGAAAGUAGAUAUCUGCUCGAUUUACUUUCAAGGUCGGUGGCAUCAUAUUGA
RNAcentral lists this ribosomal RNA (1965 nucleotides) under Triticum aestivum (bread wheat). RNAcentral's name for it is "partial small subunit ribosomal RNA". Lineage: Eukaryota; Viridiplantae; Streptophyta; Magnoliopsida; Poales; Poaceae. The record is from RNAcentral.